This 436-nucleotide ribosomal RNA is filed under the name uncultured bacterium. RNAcentral describes it as "partial 16S ribosomal RNA". It matches the Rfam family "Bacterial small subunit ribosomal RNA", at positions 28 to 507 of the family's 1533-position model. The record is from RNAcentral.
GAUGAACGCUGGCGGUAUGCUUAACACAUGCAAGUCGAACGGGGUUCAUAGUCACCUAGUGGCGGACGGGUGAGUAACGCGUGAGAAUCUGGCCUCAGGUCCGGGACAACCACGGGAAACGGUGGCUAAUACCGGAUGUGCCAUAUUGGUGAAAGAUUAAUUGCCUGAGGAUGAGCUCGCGUCUGAUUAGCUAGUUGGUGGGGUAAAGGCUUACCAAGGCGACGAUCAGUAACUGGUCUGAGAGGAUGACCAGUCACACUGGGACUGAGACACGGCCCAGACUCCUACGGGAGGCAGCAGUGGGGAAUUUUCCGCAAUGGGCGAAAGCCUGACGGAGCAAUACCGCGUGAGGGAGGAAGGCUCUUGGGUUGUAAACCUCUUUUCUCGGGGAAGAAGAAUGACGGUACCUGAGGAAUCAGCAUCGGCUAACUCCGUG